This 253-nucleotide ribosomal RNA is filed under the name uncultured bacterium. RNAcentral describes it as "partial 16S ribosomal RNA". It matches the Rfam family "Bacterial small subunit ribosomal RNA", at positions 524 to 776 of the family's 1533-position model. The record is from RNAcentral.
UACGUAGGGUGCAAGCGUUGUCCGGAAUUAUUGGGCGUAAAGAGCUCGUAGGCGGUUCGUCGCGUCGGCUGUGAAAUCCCGAGGCUCAACCUCGGGCCUGCAGUCGAUACGGGCGGACUGGAGUUCGGCAGGGGAGACUGGAAUUCCUGGUGUAGCGGUGAAAUGCGCAGAUAUCAGGAGGAACACCGGUGGCGAAGGCGGGUCUCUGGGCCGAUACUGACGCUGAGGAGCGAAAGCGUGGGGAGCGAACAGG